GACGAACGCUGGCGGCGUGCUUAACACAUGCAAGUCGAGCGGUAAGGCCCUUUCGGGGGUACACGAGCGGCGAACGGGUGAGUAACACGUGGGUGACCUGCCCUUAGCUCUGGGAUAAGCCUGGGAAACUGGGUCUAAUACCGGAUAUGACUCCAUAACGCAUGUUGUGGGGUGGAAAGCCUUGUGCGGCUAGGGGAUGGGCCCGCGGCCUAUCAGCUUGUUGGUGGGGUGACGGCCACCAAGGCGACGACGGGUAGCCGGCCUGAGAGGGCGACCGGCCACACUGGGACUGAGACACGGCCCAGACUCCUACGGGAGGCAGCAGUGGGGAAUCUUGCGCAAUGGGCGAAAGCCUGACGCAGCGACGCCGCGUGGGGAUGAC
This 382-nucleotide ribosomal RNA is filed under the name uncultured bacterium. Its description in RNAcentral is "bacterial SSU rRNA". It matches the Rfam family "Bacterial small subunit ribosomal RNA", at positions 28 to 412 of the family's 1533-position model. The record is from RNAcentral.